UCCUACUUUGAGGAGGAAGAGGUGGCUUCACUAAAGUACCAGCCGCAGGAGAGCCCGGGCAGGCAACACUGUGACUCCAUUCCAAAGACGGGAAAAGCUGCAUGAUCCAGAGUGGCUGCUCUACACACUUAUGCAAACCUUCCAGGAGAGAAAACCAUACCAGGAGGUACGGACGCGCUGUUCAUGAAAAACUCACCAACAUCCACAAACCAGCCCUAGGCCCGGGCCUCGCAGUGCAACACAACUUUCUUUAAGCAUGCUGUGUGAAAGAUUUGAAAGGUGUACGUGUAGCUGAAUGAUAGCAAUGAUAAGAAACGGACCUAAAC
Mus caroli (Ryukyu mouse) is the source of this 326-nucleotide long non-coding RNA. RefSeq lists it as uncharacterized. The record is from RefSeq and is a predicted model, not a curated record. Lineage: Eukaryota; Metazoa; Chordata; Mammalia; Rodentia; Muridae.